This is a long non-coding RNA of Musa acuminata AAA Group (dessert banana), 1288 nucleotides long. RefSeq lists it as uncharacterized. Lineage: Eukaryota; Viridiplantae; Streptophyta; Magnoliopsida; Zingiberales; Musaceae. The record is from RefSeq and is a predicted model, not a curated record. The transcript has 2 exons.
UGAGUGCCGGUGCUUUUUUGCUUUCUUCGUUUCAUCUUUAAGCGCGUUCAAAGAGAACUACGUAUGGAGUCGAGGAGGUCAUCUCAUGUUUGCUUAGUCUUAGCCUCGUAGUGCAGUGGUUGGGGCGAGGAGUACUACAUACAUCAUCACAAAUAUGGCGAAGGAGAAGCGGCCGGACAAGGAGGGCUCUCCCAGGAGCUAUCUCGCUGCCAUUGCCGGUGGCCGCGGUGACAUUGCCAUCUUUUCUCGUACGCAAGUACUUCAGUCCUGUGCCAAUUCACAUGGUCGCACGUCCCAACUCGUACCAUGCAUGACAGGCUUUUGGUACCUUGUGGAAUUGACUAUGGCUGGUGAUCUUGGCGCAUUCCGGGGGGGGGGGGGGGGGGGAGGAGGCAACAAUCCUGAUCUCUGAUCUUGGAUUAAUGGAUUUAUAUGGGCAGGAUCUGAGUCCACUGUACUUCGAUUUCGAUCCCCCGCCUAAUAUGCCCAAGUGCCCACCCAUGCAUUGAGUCAUUUGUACGUUACCUGUCUAGACGUCGUCUCCUCUUGUCUUGUGUUCGUUCACAUACACCUAUUUGCGUCCAAGCUUGCUUGCAAAAAUUAGUCCGCAGAAUUCAUCUCAACCUUCCGCUUGAUCUAAUAGUUUAAUUACAGCCGUACGCGCGUUCGUGAAGUGUUUUUGUUGGUAUUCGCACUGUUAGUAUGUUCUUUAGUCAACACGAAAUCCGGUUCGUGCCCGAAACGCCCGGCUCACCCAUCCGGACCAACAAGAUAACGGCGAACACCGGACGCUCAUAGCACCCGCCUAUAAAGCUGGCACGCACACGGUGGACCCCAAUCGACACGCUGGCUCGGCGAUAUCUGCGGAACAACCGACAUCGCACCCGUCGCGCCGCGCCCUCGUAUUCGUCGCCCAGUGGAGCCCCGUAGCGGUCGCCGGCGUCUGCUGCUCGCACCCCCCCCCCCCCCGGCGAGAAGCUGUCGGAGCGCGGCUCCCUCCUCUUCCUCGGUCUCUCUGAUUGCGCGAGUUUAUCCUAAUGUGGGUUGAAGGCGGCGAUGGUUCUGUCCAUGUGACGUUCGCGAGCGUUAUGUUCCUCUUCGGUUCCAAUUUGACGCGCAAGACCAGGGAGGAGCGUUAUGCUCCUUUGUUCUUCUUUUGGCUCUUCAGGUUGCCAUUUUAGAUAAAUAUUGGAUCUUUGUCGAUACUUUGCGGAGAUGAAGAAUACGUUUGUGAGUCGAACAACUUGUGAUGUGAUCGAUGAAGAGCAACAUCGAGGAUUUGGCCUCA